This 786-nucleotide long non-coding RNA is filed under the name Carica papaya (papaya). Its description in RNAcentral is "long non-coding RNA (CPAP_LNC011195)". Lineage: Eukaryota; Viridiplantae; Streptophyta; Magnoliopsida; Brassicales; Caricaceae. The record is from RNAcentral.
AAAUCAUAACCCAAUUCUAAUUCAUAUCUUCAUAGAAAAAAAUAAAAAUAUCAAUUAGAUUGAUAGAUUGACGACUAAUUUUAAUAAAAAAAUAUAACUAUUUAAAAGAUUUGAAUAUGACAAUAAUUGUAACGCCCCGUUUUUUUUUUCUUCUUUUUUUCACGUUGGGCGUAAUUAACAAAGCAACCAAUUCUAUAGUCAAUCGGUCAAGCACAAGGAAACACUAUCACAAUCCCUUAUUCAAUGAUCAAGGUAAAUCUACAAUCAUGCACAAGACAUCGCACAUAAUAUAACCGUAUACAAUGUCUAUGCUACCAUCAAUUUACACAUUCUAUUCAGUCAAAAAAACGAAAAUCUUUAUCCUGUUACUCUACACACUAGGUUCGAACGCCAACAACUUCCAUCCAGACUUCGUCCUACACCAUCUGUAAAGAGGAAAGAGUGAGUCCAUUUAACUAAGUACGGUACAAAUCAAAAUACAGGUGUGAGAUGCAACAAUAUAAACCCCAAGUUCCUACCAACAGUUCACUACCGAACCCCAGUCCCCCCCUGUAUCCCACAAUCCCACCUACCCAGGGUUUCCGUCCCCCGACGGCACCCCAGGCGUGCUAGUGAUACCACCCACCACCAAGAUCGGCGAUCAUUAACCACCUAUCGAUCCCUACUGGGCCACGCACGGACACUAUUUUCCUUCAUUUUUGUCACCAACAUCGGCGACCAUCAUCCACCUACCGACCCUUAUCGGGCCACACACACACACUCUAAUCAUUCUCUCCCGUCACCAAC